AUGGGAAACCAGGCCCCCUAUUAAAAGCUUUAAAUAGCUUGCUUGGGGUGACCUUUCACGCAUCCGACUGUGUAAUACUGUUUGUUGUAUCAUGUUGUAUGUCUUGGAUAUUGCGUGAAUAAACUCAAACCAUAGAACACUUCAGCCGGAGGCCGCCACGCAACUCUGGGAGG
Long non-coding RNA from Syngnathus acus (greater pipefish), 173 nucleotides. RefSeq lists it as uncharacterized. Lineage: Eukaryota; Metazoa; Chordata; Actinopteri; Syngnathiformes; Syngnathidae. The transcript is spliced from 3 exons. The record is from RefSeq and is a predicted model, not a curated record.